UUUGUGCCACAGCCUGCUGAGGAGCUGUCUCCCUCCUCCCCGAUGGAUGCCUGGAUCUUGAGCCGCCUUGCCCUGGCUGCCCAGGAGUGUGAGCGGGGCUUCCUCACCCGAGAGCUCUCGCUCGUCACUCAUGCCCUGCACCACUUCUGGCUUCACAACCUCUGUGACGUCUACCUGGUGAGUGAGACUGGGGGAGGCUUGGUAUUCCCAUGCCUGCUUCUAAUUCCUCCGGAAAUUUCCAAGGCAGAGAGCUCUGGAGUUAAUAAGUUCCCAAUUGUCCCCUCAGUUAGGAGAGGAGAGGAGACGAGGGAGUCUCAGUUCCCCUCUUCCUGGGACUGGUUUUGGCAGUGCAGCCCAGGCACUGUUGCCUGCCUGUCACCUGGGGAGAGGAGGAGGAGGGAGACUUCUAGAAAUGUCUGACAAGUCGGUGUCAGAAGGCAGAGGGGAAUUUUUUCAGUCCCUGUAGUUGCUGAGUUUGGCCCAUGGGCAGGCUGCGUGCUGAGAGAGGCCUGGGAGGGACUAGCAGCGGUCUUUAGACCAGGGGUUCUCACGGUGUCCUACGUCCAAAGCACCUGGAGGGCUUGUUGACCGUGGAUCCCCCCCCACAACUGCCACCCCAGAGUGGCUCCUUUAGCAGGUUGGGGUGGGGGUGGGUGGUGUAAUGAAUAUUCAUUUGUUGUCCCAAGUGGUGCUGCUGCUGCUGGCUGUGGACCACUGCCCUAGCUCAGCCUUUUAAAAACCUCUGUCCCCUGUUGAUAAGCAAAAAACUCAGUGAUUUUUUUCCCUAAACUACAUGUUUCCCUGGAAAUCCUGUCCCUGUGUACUGCAGAGAAUUGCUGUCCUGGAGUCCCCUUCUUUGUGCUGAGUGUGUCCUGGGACUGUGGAUCAUAUCAGAAGUGCUAAGUGCUUCUGCCUGUCCCUCUCUCCCAGGACCCAUGGCCUGCCCCGCUGGCAGGUAGCAGUGGCUGUAGGGAGGAGGGCUGUGGCCCUGGACCUGUCCUCUGACCAUUGGCUUCCUCUCCAGGAGGCUGUGAAGCCCGUGCUGUGGCACUCGCCCCGCCCCCUGGGGCCCCCUCAGGUCCUGUUCUCCUGCGCUGACCUCGGCCUCCGCCUCCUGGCCCCACUGAUGCCCUUCCUGGCUGAAGAGCUCUGGCAGAGGCUGCCCCCCAGGGCUGGUUGCCCCCCUGCCCCCAGCAUCUCGGUUGCCCCCUACCCCAGCGCCUGCAGCUUGGAGCACUGGCGCCAGCCAGAGCUGGAGCGGCGCUUCUCCCGGGUCCAAGAGGUCGUGCAGGUGCUAAGGGCUCUCCGAGCCACGUACCAGCUCACCAAAGCCCGGCCCCGAGUGCUGCUGCAGAGCUCAGAGCCUGGGGACCAGGGCCUCUUCGAGGCCUUCUUGGAGCCCCUGGGCACCCUGGGCUACUGUGGGGCUGUGGGCCUGUUACCCCCAGGCGCAGCAGCUCCCUCCGGCUGGGCCCAGGCUCCACUCAGUGACACGGCUCAAGUCUACAUGGAGCUGCAGGGCCUGGUGGACCCGCAGAUCCAGCUACCUCUGUUAGCCGCCCGAAGGUACAAGUUGCAGAAGCAGCUUGAUAGCCUCACAGCCAGGACCCCAUCAGAAGGGGAGGCAGGGACUCAGAGGCAACAAAAGCUUUCUUCCCUCCAGCUGGAAUUGUCAAAACUGGACAAGGCAGCCUCUCACCUCCGGCAGCUGAUGGAUGAGCCUCCAGCCCCAGGGAGCCCGGAGCUCUAACUCAUCAUCCCCAUCAGUUUUCCUCCCUCUCAGACCUGUCUUUGAGGACAAACAGAUUUGUCAGCUGUGAGGGUGCAGUGGGAUGUCAGAGACUGUGGUCCAUCGCCUUCAUUGUGUAAAUGAGGACACAGACUGACUUGGUCGCAGUGACUGUGGUGUCCUUGAGAUGCUCACAUUACUGCCCAGCCUGCCUCUCACCUGGAAGUCUGGGAAUGAGGAGAUUGAGAUAAACUUUUGAAAUCCCAAA
RNAcentral lists this small RNA (1997 nucleotides) under Pan troglodytes (chimpanzee). Its description in RNAcentral is "retained intron". The record is from RNAcentral. Lineage: Eukaryota; Metazoa; Chordata; Mammalia; Primates; Hominidae.